UUCACAUAUAUGUAUAUGUGUGUGUGUGUCUAUCUAUCUAUCUAUACACACACACACACACACACACACACACACACACA
Molecule: microRNA precursor, 80 nt
Filed under: Echinops telfairi (small Madagascar hedgehog)
Lineage: Eukaryota; Metazoa; Chordata; Mammalia; Afrosoricida; Tenrecidae
Description: miRNA (ENSETEG00000023664.1)
Source: RNAcentral